GAGGGUAUAGCUCAGUGGUAGAGUGCAUGCCUAGUGUGCACAAGGUCCUGGGUUCAAUCCCCAGUACCUCCA
Molecule: transfer RNA, 72 nt
Filed under: Camelus bactrianus (Bactrian camel)
Lineage: Eukaryota; Metazoa; Chordata; Mammalia; Artiodactyla; Camelidae
Also listed under: 3 other names
Rfam family: tRNA
About the family: Transfer RNA (tRNA) molecules are approximately 80 nucleotides in length.
Source: Rfam by way of RNAcentral